This 638-nucleotide ribosomal RNA is filed under the name Arthrobacter sp. RNAcentral's name for it is "bacterial SSU rRNA". It matches the Rfam family "Bacterial small subunit ribosomal RNA", at positions 29 to 684 of the family's 1533-position model. The record is from RNAcentral. Lineage: Bacteria; Bacillati; Actinomycetota; Actinomycetes; Micrococcales; Micrococcaceae.
CCUCAUGCGUGCGGCUGCUUACCAUGCAGUCGAACGAUGAACCUCACUUGUGGGGGGAUUAGUGGCGAACGGGUGAGUAACACGUGAGUAACCUGCCCUUAACUCUGGGAUAAGCCUGGGAAACUGGGUCUAAUACCGGAUAUGACUCCUCAUCGCAUGGUGGGGGGUGGAAAGCUUUAUUGUGGUUUUGGAUGGACUCGCGGCCUAUCAGCUUGUUGGUGAGGUAAUGGCUCACCAAGGCGACGACGGGUAGCCGGCCUGAGAGGGUGACCGGCCACACUGGGACUGAGACACGGCCCAGACUCCUACGGGAGGCAGCAGUGGGGAAUAUUGCACAAUGGGCGGAAGCCUGAUGCAGCGACGCCGCGUGAGGGAUGACGGCCUUCGGGUUGUAAACCUCUUUCAGUAGGGAAGAAGCGUAAGUGACGGUACCUGCAGAAGAAGCGCCGGCUAACUACGUGCCAGCAGCCGCGGUAAUACGUAGGGCGCAAGCGUUAUCCGGAAUUAUUGGGCGUAAAGAGCUCGUAGGCGGUUUGUCGCGUCUGCCGUGAAAGUCCGGGGCUCACCUCCGGAUCUGCGGUGGGUACGGGCAGACUACAUUGACGUACGGGAGACUGGAUUUUCUGGUGUCUCCGGGA